CAUGUAGGCGGCUCGCCAAGUCUGAUGUGAAAGCCCGGGGCUCAACCCCGGAAGUGCAUUGGAAACUGGCGAACUUGAGUACGGGAGAGGAAAGUGGAAUUUCGAGUGUAGGGGUGAAAUCCGUAGAUAUUCGAAGGAACACCAGUGGCGAAGGCGGCUUUCUGAACCGAUACUGACGCUGAGAUGCGAAAGCGUGGGGAGCAAACAGGAUUAGAUACCCUGGUAGUCC
Molecule: ribosomal RNA, 229 nt
Filed under: uncultured bacterium
Lineage: Bacteria
Description: partial 16S ribosomal RNA
Rfam family: Bacterial small subunit ribosomal RNA
Source: RNAcentral